GGGAACGCAUUUAUUAGAUAAAAAGCCAUGCAUGCUUUUACAGUAUGGAAAUUGGUGAUUUAUAAUAACUUAGCAAAUCGCAAGUGAAAACAGGCGAUAAAUCAUUCAAGUUUCUGACCUAUCAGCUUUCGACGGUAUGGUAUUGGCUUACCGUGGCAGUGACGGUUAACGGGGGAUUAGGGUUCGAUUCCGGAGAGGGAGCCUGAGAAACGGCUACCACAUCUAAGGAAGGCAGCAGGCGCGCAAAUUACCCAAUUCUAACAGUUUGAGAGAGGUAGUAACAAGAAAUAACAAUACAAGGCAAUUAAAAUGCUUUGUAAUUGGAAUGAUAGAAAUUUAAACCCUUUUUAAAGUAUCAAUUGGAGGGCAAGUCUGGUGCCAGCAGCCGCGGUAAUUCCAGCUCCAAUAGCGUAUAUUAAAAUUGUUGCAGUUAAAAAGCUCGUAGUUGAAGUUCUGCUAAAAGUAACCGGUCUGCUUUUAAUAAAAGUGGUAUCUUGGUGUGUAUUUAGCAAUGAUGUCCUUUGAAGUGUUUUUUACUUUAUUGUAAUAAAGCAUAUUCAGGACUUUUACUUUGAGAAAAUUAGAGUGUUUCUAGCAGGCCGACGCUUUGAAUACUGCAG
This 620-nucleotide ribosomal RNA is filed under the name Hepatozoon canis. RNAcentral describes it as "SSU rRNA". It matches the Rfam family "Eukaryotic small subunit ribosomal RNA", at positions 197 to 807 of the family's 1831-position model. Lineage: Eukaryota; Apicomplexa; Hepatozoidae. The record is from RNAcentral.